GCUGCCCAUCGCCCGGGAUGGGGGUUCCUCGGUGGCCCGGCAGGGGGAAGGCGGAUGGCAGGUGGCAGCAGCGGGGACGUGGGUCCUGGGCUGAGCUGAGAUUGCGGAUGGGGUUUCUUUCCUUUCCUUUUCUGAUUUCUUUUUUUUCUUUUUUUUUUUCGAGGGCUUUGCUGUAAAUCAACCCAAACUCCCUAGAGAGCAUCGUCUCUGUACCGCAGUGGUAGCCCCUCCUUCAGCUGGGCAUGAGGACAGGAAUGAAGCCAGCCACAGUGUGGGAGAGCAGCAUCCCCAUGGGACUGCCACCUCCCAGGAGUUAUGUCAUGGGGCAGGAGGUCAGGAUGUGGCUACCCCAUCCCAAACUGCAGCUUGGAGCCAAGAGAGAUCCAUUUCGGAGCUCUGCUCACUCAACUCAGGAGUUCAGCCACCUCCUACUGCAGCGUGGCAGGAGUUAUUCAAAGGCAGGCGGAAGCGAGCACAGCAACUGA
RNAcentral lists this long non-coding RNA (485 nucleotides) under Serinus canaria (Common canary). Its description in RNAcentral is "lncRNA (ENSSCAG00000014535.1)". Lineage: Eukaryota; Metazoa; Chordata; Aves; Passeriformes; Fringillidae. The record is from RNAcentral.